AAUAUAUUUUGAUGCUAUAUUUG
Molecule: small nuclear RNA, 23 nt
Filed under: Arabidopsis thaliana (thale cress)
Lineage: Eukaryota; Viridiplantae; Streptophyta; Magnoliopsida; Brassicales; Brassicaceae
Description: snRNA_19092
Source: RNAcentral